GAAAGUUGGUAGUAGACGAAUGUCCUUUUAAACAGGUCAGGUCCGGAAGGAAGCAGCCAUAGAAGGUCUCAUUCGGGUUAUUAUCAGCUUUCCAG
RNAcentral lists this signal recognition particle RNA (95 nucleotides) under Acetobacter sp. RNAcentral describes it as "signal recognition particle sRNA small type". It matches the Rfam family "Bacterial small signal recognition particle RNA". From Rfam's summary of the family: The signal recognition particle (SRP) is a universally conserved ribonucleoprotein involved in the co-translational targeting of proteins to membranes. The record is from RNAcentral. Lineage: Bacteria; Pseudomonadati; Pseudomonadota; Alphaproteobacteria; Acetobacterales; Acetobacteraceae.